This 1608-nucleotide long non-coding RNA is filed under the name Triticum aestivum (bread wheat). RNAcentral describes it as "long non-coding RNA (TAES_LNC011027)". The record is from RNAcentral. Lineage: Eukaryota; Viridiplantae; Streptophyta; Magnoliopsida; Poales; Poaceae.
CCCAGCCCUCACGGCCUCAACUCAAACAACAAGCUUUACAUCUCUUAUAUAGAGACUCACGCGCACACACAGCCACGGCCACACCGGCCACUAACCAAUCCCUAGCUACAUGCACUACAUGCACGCCCACGUCCAGACUACACGGCCAAGCCGUUCAACUAACCGACUGCAUGCAACCUGACCAAUUCUCCUGGCUCCAACUUGAUCUAUCCAGCCAGCCGGUUUGGCUUCAUCCUGCACGCGUCUCGCCGCUUCCCACGGCUAUACCAUCCCGGCAUCAAGCCUUGCGCCGUAUCACACGGCACCGCGCCUUCACGCCGUCAUCGGCAGCCCGGCAUCUCGCAGUCUCCGCAUGCCUCCGCUGAAACUUCACCGGACUAGCUACUCUCUAACCUAUGCAACAUGCAUAACAAAAGCAAACUAAAUAUGCAGAUACAUGAAUCAAGAUUAAACCUAACAUUUUCCCUCCUAAUCUUGAUUCUCCAAUCUUCACGCGGUUCACCCGCUGCCACUUGACGACACAAUCGCGGCGCUGCACACCUUGCCUGGACCGACGCCAUCGCAGCGCCCGCGUCCAUCACCAUGUACUCUUGCCGCACGCAGCGGCCACCUCUUGACGUGGACGACGCUGUCGCAGCGCCGAUCACCACGCCGUCUUCGCCAAGCGGCAUCGCACCAUAACUUUUGUUGGCUUCACACCAACUUUCCAUGAUGACGAUGGCAUCACACCACCGUCGUCGGCAUCACGCCGACUCUUCUUGUGGCAGCUUCGCACCGCCAUCUUCACAUAGCGGCACCGCAUGGCCACCAUCCUCCUUCUUGCGCCGUCGGCCUCCAUCUCGCAUGAAGUCCGUCGCGCCACAACCGACGCCGUCGCAGCCGUUGCCUCCGCCCAGCACCACGGCGGCCACCAUAGCCGCCGGCACCGUCGUCGCCGCCACGAAUCAACCUGGCUCUGAUGCCAAUUGUUGGCGCCGCCUCUCGCAGCGCCGCUUCUUCUACCUCGAGUUGCUGCCACUCACAGCUCCCUCUCUCUUUCUCUGGUUGUUUCUCUCAAGAACACAUGAAGAACACCCACGAACGCACACAUGCACCAAGGGAGAAACCAGCCGCUAGCUUUGCCAAGAGGCUCUCUCCUUGGUGAAAACAAACACUACAUUGUUUCUGCCCCAGCCCUCACGGCCUCAACUCAAACAACAAGCUUUACAUCUCUUAUAUAGAGACUCACGCGCACACACAGCCACGGCCACACCGGCCACUAACCAAUCCCUAGCUACAUGCACUACAUGCACGCCCACGUCCAGACUACACGGCCAAGCCGUUCAACUAACCGACUGCAUGCAACCUGACCAAUUCUCCUGGCUCCAACUUGAUCUAUCCAGCCAGCCGGUUUGGCUUCAUCCUGCACGCGUCUCGCCGCUUCCCACGGCUAUACCAUCCCGGCAUCAAGCCUUGCGCCGUAUCACACGGCACCGCGCCUUCACGCCGUCAUCGGCAGCCCGGCAUCUCGCAGUCUCCGCAUGCCUCCGCUGAAACUUCACCGGACUAGCUACUCUCUAACCUAUGCAACAUGCAUAACAAAAGCAAACUAAAUAUGCAGAUACAUGA